UCGUGAGAUCAAUGCUUCGAGCUGAUUCAGUGAGUUUAUGAGCAGCAGCAUAGGUGAUAUCUCCGGCCGGUCUCGCUCCUGUUUCAAUCACCUUCACAUCACAAUGCUCUUCUUAUAGGUACAUGAUUUUAAUUCCUCCGACGUUGGGGUUCCUGGUGCUCGGAGGAGAUGACACGAUUUCACUUCCCACUUUAAGACCCCUCAUGGUAAGGCAA
Molecule: non-coding RNA, 215 nt
Organism: Bemisia tabaci
Lineage: Eukaryota; Metazoa; Arthropoda; Insecta; Hemiptera; Aleyrodidae
Source: RefSeq, a predicted model, not a curated record